Molecule: transfer RNA, 64 nt
Filed under: Octolasion cyaneum
Lineage: Eukaryota; Metazoa; Annelida; Clitellata; Crassiclitellata; Lumbricidae
Description: tRNA-Val
Source: RNAcentral
CGAAGUAUAGCAUAUAUAAUGCUUUUUACUUACACUAAAAAAAAGACAUUCGUCUACUCCGCCU